This 332-nucleotide long non-coding RNA is filed under the name Gallus gallus (chicken). The record is from RNAcentral. Lineage: Eukaryota; Metazoa; Chordata; Aves; Galliformes; Phasianidae.
CUUUGCUGCUCUCUUCUUCAUCAUAAGAUUCAUAUGAGCUGCUAACAGCUUCACCAUCUUCAUUCAUAGAGACAUCGUAUGGCUCAGCCUCUUCGUAAUAUCCCUCUGGGGACUCGAUCUUGGGAACCGAAGGCUGCUUUGUUUCGGGAAUCUUUGGAGGGGGCAGCUCUGGAAGGCUCUUCUGGGGAGGGGAUGAAUGCAGUCCCAGGUCUCCAUUGGUCAAGGAGUUUUUCCCAUCCAGUGCUUUGUCUUGCUUCUCCUGGUCACCCUGCUGUCUGUUGACAGUCACUUUAUUCAUGUAAAUAUAUUCUUCAUCACCACCGCUGGACUUG